GAUCAUGGCUCAGGAUGAACGCUGGCGGCGUGCUUAACACAUGCAAGUCGAGCGAAGCACUCUGCUUUGAUUCUUUCGGGAUGAAGAGCAUUGUGACUGAGCGGCGGACGGGUGAGUACGCGUGGGUAACCUGCCUCAUACGAGGGGGAUAACAGUUAGAAAUGGCUGCUAAUACCGCAUAAGACCACAGCACCGCAUGGUGUAAGGGGUAAAAACUACGGUGGU
Molecule: ribosomal RNA, 225 nt
Filed under: uncultured bacterium
Lineage: Bacteria
Description: partial 16S ribosomal RNA
Rfam family: Bacterial small subunit ribosomal RNA
Source: RNAcentral